GAGCUGACUUUUCCUCUGAGCAGUGCCUGUUGCUGGCCAUCCUCCUACCAACUCUGAAUGAGGUGGGCACUGACUCUGCUUCUCUGAAGUGGCCCAAGCACAGAGAGGACAGAUAAGGAAAUCAAGGCCAGAGACUGCCUGACAUGACCCAACCUGCAAGUGGCUGAGGCAGGACUCCUCACACCGAGGCUGAUGCUUUUUCGUGAAAGCACACCUGGCCCACAUUAGCGAACAGCUUCCUGUCUGCCUCACACCCUGGAUUUCCAUCACCCUGGAUUAUCGAUGUAAACCAGGGUGAUAGCUCUGACCUCAGAGAGUGCUAGGAAGACAAGG
Callithrix jacchus (white-tufted-ear marmoset) is the source of this 333-nucleotide long non-coding RNA. RefSeq lists it as uncharacterized. NCBI's taxonomy places the organism in Eukaryota, Metazoa, Chordata, Mammalia, Primates, Cebidae. The record is from RefSeq and is a predicted model, not a curated record.